CCCUGAAGCGUUGUGCCCUUUUUUUUUCUCUCUGUCUCUUUCUCUAUCGCUCUGCAUGUGCCGUCCUUUGCCUUAAAGAGCCUUAAACUGAUGGGACUCGCAGGACAAUAGACUGGAGACUCCAGCGGCCACUAGCACACAUACACGACGUGUGUGUGUGUGUGUGUGUGUGUGUGUGUGUGUGUGUGUGUGUGUGUGUGUGUGUGUGUGUGNNNNNNNNNNNNNNNNNNNNNNNNNNGUGUGUGUGCUGUGAAAGUCGCUUUGGCUCUGGUAUUGGCACUUGCUCAGAUGGGAACUGACACAUGACUUUAGUGUCAGCUGUAAACACCGAUCUAGACUUGGCAGUUCUUUGUUUUGUUGUUGUCAUUUGUUUUUAUGAAGAGAUUUCAUUUUUUAAAUUUUCACUCUGUAAAUUCUUAUAUCUUCCGUUCACCUGAUGUAUAUCAAACACACCGUUCCGUUGUUUCCAUAUACACCGUCAGUCACUGGGAAAUGAAUUGCAUGGAGCGGGUUCCACAUUAUCGAAACGUUACCAAAGUCUCACUCACUUUGACACCAAAACAGUGCUUUUAGGUGUCUGUAGCAUGGGAUAUAAACUUGCGUCUCUGUGUGUAUGGCUGUAUUACGUUAUUAUCUAUGUGUACUGUUGUAAGGGCGGAGCGGCCCUGCCGGUGCAUGGAAGCCUCUUCUGUCUCUGCUGCACCCGGGAGAUCCACAAGACUCCUUUCUCAAACACCAGCACGUGUUUCAGGCUUUCACACAGAGCUCUCCAAAGAAAAACAGGGCUAAGCACUCGCAAUUUCAUGAAACCUGUGAAAGCAUCUUGCUGUGUCACUGUCGGAUGGGUGGUGCUGGAGUUUCCUGAUGACAUCUUACCUCUGCGGCCCCACUUGCAGAGCAACAGUCUGGAAUGGCAAAAAAAAAUCUCAAAUUUCAUCGCAUACUAUAAGUCAUGUGGUAUUCAUUCUGUACAUGCUGAUAAUGUAACUCUCGGUUCACUGCGCUGUUUGACAGGUUAUGUGAAACAGGUCCUAUUGUUGUGGUGUUUGGUUUGAAGUUUGAAAACCUGCCAAUGACUUGCGACGUUCUGCAUCCAAAAUGCAACCAACAGUGAUGUUUGCACUUUAAUGUUUGCGUUCUGCUUAGUGGUUGGUUUUGUUGGAUGUUGAUCAUUCUUGCUUCACGUUGCUUGCUCGCAUUCAUUAUGACAAUGACAGAGCUGCUCUCAUUUGCCCUUUCGUUUACACAAAACCAAAAACAAAACGACCUAAAUACUUAACAUUUGUCUUUUGCUGCAUUGCAACACUAGUUUUUCUGAUGUGUAUACCCUCAAACCCAAACACUUUGCAUGACAGAAAUAAAAUGCCCCAAAAUUCAGUAGGCACAACAGUCCUGUAAUGUUAAAAUGUUGCUGGUUUAAAUUGAAAUGUUGUAUUGACAAACGUGUUGCCAUCCACUGGUUGUUCAGUAUUUCAACAGCAUUGUGCAUAUGAACCGUCCUGCUGGUCAAGGCACAUCUCAGGAUCAAAAUGAUUCCCUAUGUAUCAGGAUGCUGUAUUCUCCAACCUAGUGUGAAUAUAGAGCUGAUUUUGUGGAAGUUUGUGUUAAUGGAGUUGACAGCUGUCCUCAUUAGGACCUCAUUCUUAGAAAGUAAAAGGAUUUCUACUCCAUUUAAGUUUUCACCCGUAAAUGCUUUGUUUUUUUUGUUUUUUUACACACGUUGUUGUUCCUAAUAAGUUUGAAUUGCUUUCUUCCUUAAAAAAAACAAAUAAAAAAUCCAUAUGACUUGAAUGAUGAG
This 1798-nucleotide long non-coding RNA is filed under the name Sinocyclocheilus anshuiensis. RNAcentral describes it as "lncRNA (ENSSANG00000004987.1)". The record is from RNAcentral. Lineage: Eukaryota; Metazoa; Chordata; Actinopteri; Cypriniformes; Cyprinidae.